This 492-nucleotide ribosomal RNA is filed under the name uncultured bacterium. Its description in RNAcentral is "partial 16S ribosomal RNA". It matches the Rfam family "Bacterial small subunit ribosomal RNA", at positions 29 to 507 of the family's 1533-position model. The record is from RNAcentral.
AGUGAACGCUGGCGGUGGGCCUAACACAUGCAAGUCGAACGGCAGCACAGUAAGAGCUUGCUCUUACGGGUGGCGAGUGGCGGACGGGUGAGGAAUACAUCGGAAUCUACUUUUUCGUGGGGGAUAACGUAGGGAAACUUACGCUAAUACCGCAUCCGACCUACGGGUGAAAGCAGGGGAUCUUCGGACCUUGCGCGAUUGAAUGAGCCGAUUUCGGAUUAGCUAGUGGGGGGGGUAAAGACCCACCAAGGCGACGAUCCGUAGCUGGUCUGAGAGGAUGAUCAGCCACACUGGAGCUGAGACACGGUCCAGACUCCUACGGGAGGCAGCAGUGGGGAAUAUUGGACAAUGGGCGCAAGCCUGAUCCAGCCAUCCCGCGUGGGUGAAGAAGGCCUUCGGGUUGUAAAGCCCUUUUGUUGGGAAAGAAAAGCAGCAGGUUAAUACCCCGCUGUUCUGACGGUACCCAAAGAAUAAGCACCGGCUAACUUCGUG